GAUAAACGCUGGCGGCGUGCCUAAUACAUGCAAGUCGAGCGAACGGACGAGAAGCUUGCUUCUCUGAUGUUAGCGGCGGACGGGUGAGUAACACGUGGAUAACCUACCUAUAAGACUGGGAUAACUUCGGGAAACCGGAGCUAAUACCGGAUAAUAUUUUGAACCGCAUGGUUCAAAAGUGAAAGACGGUCUUGCUGUCACUUAUAGAUGGAUCCGCGCUGCAUUAGCUAGUUGGUAAGGUAACGGCUUACCAAGGCAACGAUGCAUAGCCGACCUGAGAGGGUGAUCGGCCACACUGGAACUGAGACACGGUCCAGACUCCUACGGGAGGCAGCAGUAGGGAAUCUUCCGCAAUGGGCGAAAGCCUGACGGAGCAACGCCGCGUGAGUGAUGAAGGUCUUCGGAUCGUAAAACUCUGUUAUUAGGGAAGAACAUAUGUGUAAGUAACUGUGCACAUCUUGACGGUACCUAAUCAGAAAGCCACGGCUAACUACGUGCCAGCAGCCGCGGUAAUACGUAGGUGGCAAGCGUUAUCCGGAAUUAUUGGGCGUAAAGCGCGCGUAGGCGGUUUUUUAAGUCUGAUGUGAAAGCCCACGGCUCAACCGUGGAGGGUCAUUGGAAACUGGAAAACUUGAGUGCAGAAGAGGAAAGUGGAAUUCCAUGUGUAGCGGUGAAAUGCGCAGAGAUAUGGAGGAACACCAGUGGCGAAGGCGACUUUCUGGUCUGUAACUGACGCUGAUGUGCGGAAGCGUGGGGAUCAAACAGGAUUAGAUACCCUGGUAGUCCACGCCGUAAACGAUGAGUGCUAAGUGUUAGGGGGUUUCCGCCCCUUAGUGCUGCAGCUAACGCAUUAAGCACUCCGCCUGGGGAGUACGACCGCAAGGUUGAAACUCAAAGGAAUUGACGGGGACCCGCACAAGCGGUGGAGCAUGUGGUUUAAUUCGAAGCAACGCGAAGAACCUUACCAAAUCUUGACAUCCUUUGACAACUCUAGAGAUAGAGCCUUCCCCUUCGGGGGACAAAGUGACAGGUGGUGCAUGGUUGUCGUCAGCUCGUGUCGUGAGAUGUUGGGUUAAGUCCCGCAACGAGCGCAACCCUUAAGCUUAGUUGCCAUCAUUAAGUUGGGCACUCUAAGUUGACUGCCGGUGACAAACCGGAGGAAGGUGGGGAUGACGUCAAAUCAUCAUGCCCCUUAUGAUUUGGGCUACACACGUGCUACAAUGGACAAUACAAAGGGCAGCGAAACCGCGAGGUCAAGCAAAUCCCAUAAAGUUGUUCUCAGUUCGGAUUGUAGUCUGCAACUCGACUACAUGAAGCUGGAAUCGCUAGUAAUCGUAGAUCAGCAUGCUACGGUGAAUACGUUCCCGGGUCU
This 1372-nucleotide ribosomal RNA is filed under the name uncultured bacterium. Its description in RNAcentral is "bacterial SSU rRNA". It matches the Rfam family "Bacterial small subunit ribosomal RNA", at positions 28 to 1381 of the family's 1533-position model. The record is from RNAcentral.